AGCGAACGUUUGCGGCGGGCUUAACACAUGCAAGUCGAACGGGCUGUUCCUUCGGGGGCAGUCAGUGGCGCACGGGUGCGUAACACGUAGGUAAUCAACCCUCUGGUUGGGGAUAACACUUCGAAAGGAGUGCUAAUACCCGGUAUGGCGCAGCGGUCUUCGGAUCGCGGCGAGAAAGACCCGCAAGGGUUGCCAGAGGACGAGCCUGCGGCCCAUCAGCUAGUUGGCGAGGUAACGGCUCACCAAGGCGAAGACGGGUAGCUGGUCUGAGAGGAUGAUCAGCCACACUGGAACUGAGACACGGUCCAGACUCCUACGGGAGGCAGCAGUGGGGGAAUAGUUGCGCGAAUGGGCGAAAGCCUGACGCAGCCACGCCGCGUGAGCGGAUGAAGGCCUCGGUCGGUAA
RNAcentral lists this ribosomal RNA (406 nucleotides) under uncultured bacterium. RNAcentral describes it as "bacterial SSU rRNA". It matches the Rfam family "Bacterial small subunit ribosomal RNA", at positions 30 to 428 of the family's 1533-position model. The record is from RNAcentral.